GAAGUAUGGUGAUCAAGUAAAAGCUGCUAACUUUUUUCUUUUAAUGGUUAAAAUCCAUUUAUACUUCU
Molecule: transfer RNA, 68 nt
Filed under: Drosophila robusta
Lineage: Eukaryota; Metazoa; Arthropoda; Insecta; Diptera; Drosophilidae
Also listed under: 1 other name
Description: tRNA-Ser
Source: RNAcentral